Long non-coding RNA from Poecilia reticulata (guppy), 598 nucleotides. RefSeq lists it as uncharacterized. The record is from RefSeq and is a predicted model, not a curated record. Lineage: Eukaryota; Metazoa; Chordata; Actinopteri; Cyprinodontiformes; Poeciliidae.
CCUGAUUUGUGGCGUUACAUUUCGGAGGUUUCUGAUACAGGACAUUUUAACUUAACUUAUUACCAAAAGACCUUCUGGGUGGAUUUUGUAAGUGCUUGUCCUGUUUUUAGAAGCAGUAGAAACCCAAACGGUAGUACAAAAACAUGAAGAAAAAGAAAUUGCAGUGAAAUCAUACGAAGACGCACAAGAACGCCAAGAACAGGAAAAGCUAAUACUAAAGCAGAGCAUCAACAACUGCUUCCCCGAACUGAGAGGCUUUCUCACAUCACUGCUGCAGGUCAGCUGACCAGCUGCUCCAGAAGAUGAAGCUCAGAGGCGAUUAGACUUUUAGUUGCAUCCACAUGUUAUGAAGGUUCAUUCCUGUCUCCCUUAAAACCUUUUAAAGACUCCUAACUUUUCCCUGGCAUUCAAGAGAGAGUUGUUUGUUGUUUUGUGUGAAUUGCUGUUUAGUCAACUGUAUGUGUUUAAAUUUGCUUUACUAUGGAGCCCCCUAGGGGCAUGAGGAAAAUGUUUCUUUUUUUUCCGUUCCCUCGCAGGAAGCACGGCAAUAUUUGCUGGUCUAUUUUGUAUACAUGUAACAGGAUUUUAUUUUAACAAU